AACUGCGAUAAGUAAUGUGAAUUGCAGAAUUCAGUGAAUCAUCGAAUCUUUGAACGCACAUUGCGCCCGCCAGUAUUCUGGCGGGCAUGCCUGUCCGAGCGUCAUUUCAACCAUCAAGCCCCCGGGCUUGUGUUGGGGACCUGCGGCUGCCCGCAGGCCCUGAAAACCAGUGGCGGGCUCGCUGUCACACCGAGCGUAGUAGCAAUCACCUCGCUCAGGGCGUGCUGCGGGUUCCGGCCGUUAAACAGCCUUACAAAACCCAAGGUUGACCUCGGAUCAGGUAGGAAGACCCGCUGAACUUAAGC
Molecule: unclassified non-coding RNA, 305 nt
Filed under: plant metagenome
Description: partial contains 5.8S ribosomal RNA, internal transcribed spacer 2, and large subunit ribosomal RNA
Rfam family: 5.8S ribosomal RNA (bases 1-104)
Source: RNAcentral